CCGCGCGAGACGAUGCCGGUGACGCGGUUGGCGGUGAGAUGGAUGUAAGGCAGGCGCACGCCGGCAUGGAUGGUGAAAUAAUCCACGCCCUGUUCGCACUGUUCGAUCAGCGUGUCCUUAUACAGCUCCCAUGUCAGCUUGACCGGAUCGCCGUCGCACUUCUCCAGCGCCUGAUAGAUCGGCACGGUGCCGAUCGGAAUCGGCGCGUUGCGCAGGAUCCAUUCGCGGGUGGUGUGGAUGUUGCG
This 245-nucleotide unclassified non-coding RNA is filed under the name Hevea brasiliensis (rubber tree). Lineage: Eukaryota; Viridiplantae; Streptophyta; Magnoliopsida; Malpighiales; Euphorbiaceae. The record is from RNAcentral.